Long non-coding RNA from Acipenser ruthenus (sterlet), 1811 nucleotides. RefSeq lists it as uncharacterized. NCBI's taxonomy places the organism in Eukaryota, Metazoa, Chordata, Actinopteri, Acipenseriformes, Acipenseridae. The record is from RefSeq and is a predicted model, not a curated record. The transcript is spliced from 3 exons.
ACAAGGAAUUCAAUUCGGCCCUGAAACUGAAACAUCACGUUUUGAUCUCUUCUUAGUUACUGAUGAUUUAUUGUUCACUGUUUAGUAGGUGCAAUCCUAGAUCUAGUGGAUUAUUCCUUUCAUUUGUGUCAGAUUUGUUGCAAAGAAAUUGGGACUACAGCCAUUUACCUGCUGAUAACCACAGGCUGCUGGAUUUUGUCUAACAGGGCCUUCUUUCCUGACUUUCCUUAAUGGCUGACAUGCUUUGAAGUCAGUUAUGUGUUUGACCCUGAAGACACUGCUGAGGUGAAAUGGUCAAGCAAUGCAGUGAAGCAGGCCUGCUGGAAAGCAAACUGAGAGCCUUCUUUUACCAGCAUUCAACUCCGCACUACUGGACAGACUCAUCAUUUCCAACGUUCUCUAUGUUUUCAUCAACCUUCCACCAUCCCCAUCAGUACUGGACUCUUUUCUGGACUUCCUUAUCAGUUGGUGAGAUCAUUCCUUUUCUGUUUGUUUUGGAUUUUUUUCUCCUUUAAUUUGAUACUUUGUUUCCUGUAUUUUUUGGUUUUGUUCUUUUUAUUACUCUGGUUUUCAAUGACCCUGCACUGCUGGACUUGUUUAGACUUCACUUUCAUUCAUCAUCCAUUGCCAUCAAGUGUCUUUGAAAUUGUUUUCCAUCAGUAAUUAUUUCAUUCACCUUUAUCUUUCUCUGUCUGCCUGUGCAUUGGUUUUGUGUUUGUGUGUGUUGUGUUUGAGGCCCACUGGACACUACACCCAUUUCUCCUUUGUGUUUAUUUUUUGGCCUUGUGUUUUGUUCACUUUACUUUCCUACAUACUUGCCUGUUCCCUACAAUUAUUUGUGUUCUUUCUUAUGAUGAUUGUUGUUGCUGCUUUCAACCUUUCUUCUUUUUCUCUCCUUUAUCUGUUCUUUACUUAUUUUGUAUUGUUUAUUUCAUUUAUUGAUAUUAUUGUUCUGUGACAGAAAUACAAUGAGUUCUGGUGAUAAAUCUUCCUCCCGACCUGUGAGGGCGCUAAAGAACGGGAGGAGAAGUAUCUGGAAGGGCUGGCCUGACAGUUCGUUUCCGGGACCGGGAAGUGGGUCAGCCUGGAAGGAAGCGAGACUCUGUUGUAAGACCGUAUUGAUUUGACAGGUAAACGAGGGGCAGCUGCAACCGUUUACCUAGAUAUCAUGCGGGAUUACAUAUAGGGGCCAGGGUAACGCUGUUCUUUUCCUUCGUUUGGGUUAGCGUUUGGAGAGAGAAGGAUCGAGAGAGGAGCUCUCAUUGUUAAAAAGAAUAAGAGAAAGAAUUACGUGUUGUGUUUGUGUAAUUGUCUGUGUUUUUCACCACCAGACAGUUAAAGCACUACUCCGGAGCUGUCGCCAAGGGUCAGCACUAUCCGGAGCACCACUGCACCCCGCACUAUCUGUGUUUAAACAAAAGCACCAUCACGACUGCACUCACCCAGGACUGGUGACCGUCUGUUUGUUUUUGUUCGGGACUGUGCCCUGUUUAUUGUUAUCCCCGUGCAUUACACAUUGUUGUGUAUCGCCGGGGAUUUAGUUAUUUUUCGGUCACCAGACCUGGAAAAAGAAUAAAGCACUUUUUCACUGGAAUACCGUUGUCUGCCUGUCACUCCUGCACCGCAUCACCGCUACACCUGUUCCCCUUACCAGGCACUUUGCCACAGUUCACAACAAUAAACUGGUUGUUUGUGAAAUGGACACCUCUGAUGUCCCUGCUUCUGCUGUAUGUCACUCUUGCUGGCUUAUUAUUUAGUUAUAGGAAUAGGGCCAGUAGUAUCUCCUUAGGGAGGACAGGGCAGUUGCCUCA